This is a long non-coding RNA of Folsomia candida, 845 nucleotides long. RefSeq lists it as uncharacterized. The record is from RefSeq and is a predicted model, not a curated record. Lineage: Eukaryota; Metazoa; Arthropoda; Collembola; Entomobryomorpha; Isotomidae. The transcript has 2 exons.
ACCAGGUAGUACAUAUUCACCUAAAAACCCAAAGUCGAACAAACUCUUCAAAUUAUGAGAUCCACAAUGGACAAAACCGUUUUCACAGCGAUCCUGCUAGUAGCUGGGUGCACAGGAUUUAUACAGGAGCUAACCCUCUACCAGGGACUUAAUUGCGCCGGACCCGCGGUAACUUUCCAAACCAAAGAGGCAAACUUGACCAAUUGGGACUUCUUUCUUCCAUCGGUGCAAUCCUGGAAGGCUCAUGGCUGGUGGCGAUUCUAUAGCGGAACAGAAUUUAAUCCUUACACAUAGGGCACGGGUUAGAGGCCCACGCCAAGUUGUGUUAACACUACGUCGGCGGUGCGAUCCUCAAAGUCACUACGAUUCUCUGGUCCCCUGGAGUCUGCCACCCCCGCCCUUGCUGUUUACGAGUUUGGUGGUGCAGCAGGCAGAGAAGAAAUCUUUACGACAGGGGCUGCAAAUAAUUUUGGGUAUAUAGCUAAUUACGCGAUGGCUUUUGGUACUUCAACCUGGACACUGUACUCCAAUGACAAUUUCACCGGAACUCCUAUCUGCAUUUCUGGAGGGGGAGAGAUGGCAGAGAGGGCGGUAGUUUUUCGGUCGGCCAUUAUCGGAUGUCACGCACAAUAUGGGUCGGGCUAUGUUCCCGUUAUUGGAAAGGAACCGGAGUUUCAUUUUGAUUAAUUAUGUCACUUUAAAUAUUUCAAUGGUGAAAUUUUCCUUUCUUGCAUUACUUCCAAUUCGUUGCAUGAACAAUUUUCAAUACUUCUACCUUAUUACAUAUUACUCUUUGUGUCUUCAUGUGUUGAUAAAAUAAAUCUGUAACUUUAUUGAGCAAAAUA